AUACGUAGGGGGCGAGCGUUGUUCGGAAUGACUGGGCGUAAAGGGCGUGUAGGCGGUUGGUUAAGUCUGGAGUGAAAGUCCCGGUUUCAAGUUGGGAACUGCUUUGGAUACUGUUCGACUUGAGUGCGGGAGAGGGAAGUGGAAUUCCCAGUGUAGCGGUGAAAUGCGUAGAGAUUGGGAGGAACACCAGUGGCGAAGGCGACUUACUGGGCCGUAACUGACGCUGAGGCGCGAAAGCGUGGGGAGCGAACAGGAUUAGAUACCCUGGUAGUCCACGCGGUAAACGAUGAAUGCUAGGUGUUGCGGGUAUCGACCCCUGCAGUGCCGGAGUAAACACAAUAAGCAUUCCGCCUGGGGAGUACGGCCGCAAGGUUAAAACUCAAAGGAAUUGACGGGG
This 397-nucleotide ribosomal RNA is filed under the name uncultured bacterium. Its description in RNAcentral is "partial 16S ribosomal RNA". It matches the Rfam family "Bacterial small subunit ribosomal RNA", at positions 523 to 918 of the family's 1533-position model. The record is from RNAcentral.